RNAcentral lists this ribosomal RNA (496 nucleotides) under uncultured bacterium. RNAcentral describes it as "partial 16S ribosomal RNA". It matches the Rfam family "Bacterial small subunit ribosomal RNA", at positions 28 to 507 of the family's 1533-position model. The record is from RNAcentral.
GAUGAACGCUGGCGGCGUGCCUAAUACAUGCAAGUCGAGCGAACAGACGAGGAGCUUGCUCCUCUGACGUUAGCGGCGGACGGGUGAGUAACACGUGGAUAACCUACCUAUAAGACUGGGAUAACUUCGGGAAACCGGAGCUAAUACCGGAUAAUAUAUUGAACCGCAUGGUUCAAUAGUGAAAGACGGUUUUGCUGUCACUUAUAGAUGGAUCCGCGCCGCAUUAGCUAGUUGGUAAGGUAACGGCUUACCAAGGCAACGAUGCGUAGCCGACCUGAGAGGGUAACCGCCCCCCCUGGACUUAGGCACCGUCCCGACCCCUUCCGGAAGGCGCCGUUGGGAAUCCUUCCCCAUGGGCCGAAGCCCUACCGGGCCACCGCGCCUGAGUUAUUAAGGUCCUCCGGUCCUAAAACUCUGUUAUUAGGGAAGAACAAAUGUGUAAGUAACUAUGCACGUCUUGACGGUACCUAAUCAGAAAGCCACGGCUAACUACGUG